UACAGAGGUCUCAAGCGUUGUUCGGAUUCAUUGGGCGUAAAGGGUGCGUAGGCGGCGCAGUAAGUCGGGUGUGAAAUCUCGGAGCUUAACUCCGAAACUGCAUUCGAUACUGCCGUGCUUGAGGACUGGAGAGGAGACUGGAAUUUACGGUGUAGCGGUGAAAUGCGUAGAUAUCGUAAGGAAGACCAGUGGCGAAGGCGGGUCUCUGGACAGUUCCUGACGCUGAGGCACGAAGGUCAGGGGAGCAAACGGG
Molecule: ribosomal RNA, 253 nt
Filed under: uncultured bacterium
Lineage: Bacteria
Description: partial 16S ribosomal RNA
Rfam family: Bacterial small subunit ribosomal RNA
Source: RNAcentral